UUUCCGUAUGUGAACCUGCGGAAGGAUCAUUAUUGUAUAGCCGAGGUGCGAGGGCUGUCGCUGACCCGAAAGGUCGUGCACGCCCGAGUGCCCUCACACACAUCCAUCUCACCCCUAUGUGCACCACCGCGUGGGUCCCCCUUUGGCUUGUUCGGAGGGGGGCUUACGUUUUCACACAAACUUUGUAUGCAGUGUAGAAUGUAUUUUUUGUUUUUGCGAUCACGCAAUCAAUACAACUUUCAACAACGGAUCUCUUGGCUCUC
Molecule: unclassified non-coding RNA, 263 nt
Filed under: plant metagenome
Description: partial contains small subunit ribosomal RNA, internal transcribed spacer 1, and 5.8S ribosomal RNA
Source: RNAcentral